AGGAAACCUAACCCAUGGCACUAAACUACUGAAAAGGAGAAGUAGCAUAAAAGUCAAUUUAAUGAGCUUAUGUAUGGUAGUUUAUCAAGAAACAGGGCAAACUUUUUUUUUUUUCUUUUUUUUUUUUUGGCCAGUCCUGGGCCUUGGACUCAGGGCCUGAGCACUG
Molecule: long non-coding RNA, 166 nt
Organism: Perognathus longimembris pacificus (Pacific pocket mouse)
Lineage: Eukaryota; Metazoa; Chordata; Mammalia; Rodentia; Heteromyidae
Exons: 3
Source: RefSeq, a predicted model, not a curated record